Molecule: ribosomal RNA, 235 nt
Filed under: Vibrio sp. s8a4
Lineage: Bacteria; Pseudomonadati; Pseudomonadota; Gammaproteobacteria; Vibrionales; Vibrionaceae
Description: partial 16S ribosomal RNA
Rfam family: Bacterial small subunit ribosomal RNA
Source: RNAcentral
CGGAGCUAACGCGUUAAGUAGACCGCCUGGGGAGUACGGUCGCAAGAUUAAAACUCAAAUGAAUUGACGGGGGCCCGCACAAGCGGUGGAGCAUGUGGUUUAAUUCGAUGCAACGCGAAGAACCUUACCUACUCUUGACAUCCAGAGAACUUUCCAGAGAUGGAUUGGUGCCUUCGGGAACUCUGAGACAGGUGCUGCAUGGCUGUCGUCAGCUCGUGUCGUGAGAUGUUGGGUU